This 432-nucleotide ribosomal RNA is filed under the name uncultured bacterium. Its description in RNAcentral is "partial 16S ribosomal RNA". It matches the Rfam family "Bacterial small subunit ribosomal RNA", at positions 29 to 507 of the family's 1533-position model. The record is from RNAcentral.
AACGAACGCUGGCGGCAUGCCUAACACAUGCAAGUCGAACGAGACCUUCGGGUCUAGUGGCGCACGGGUGCGUAACGCGUGGGAACCUGCCCUUAGGUUCGGAAUACUCCCCGAAAGGGGUGCUAAUACCGGAUAAUGUCUUCGGACCAAAGAUUUAUCGCCUUUGGAUGGGCCCGCGUUGGAUUAGCUAGUUGGUAGGGUAAAAGCCUACCAAGGCGACGAUCCAUAGCUGGUCUGAGAGGAUGAUCAGCCACACUGGGACUGAGACACGGCCCAGACUCCUACGGGAGGCAGCAGUGGGGAAUAUUGGACAAUGGGCGAAAGCCUGAUCCAGCAAUGCCGCGUGAGUGAUGAAGGCCUUAGGGUUGUAAAGCUCUUUUACCCGGGAUGAUAAUGACAGUACCGGGAGAAUAAGCUCCGGCUAACUCCGUG